GACUGGUAUUCUUUUCGCAUCACGUGACUUCCGGUCUCUCCCUCUUUCUGGAAGAUCCAUGGGUUGGCAACGCGUCCUCGUGCUCAAAAGAUUGAGAUGCAAGAUCUAUUGGAAACGAGCAGCAGACGUGGGAUGAAAGUAACACAGUAUUAUCCAUCAAUUUAGGAUGGUUUUGCAGCCGAUGGUGAUGUGAGUUGUCAACGAGGACAUACAGUGGUUGACCUGCAGGUAGCUGUAGAUGCCACAUAUCAAAUGUUCAGUGUGACGUGUAGCCUGAGCUGAGUAAGUGGACACGACGGCGCCCUCUUGUGGACGUGACUGGAACUCUAGAAGCAACGUCACUGCAUUGGAGUUUUGUUUUAAUGAAACAUAACACAAUAAAACAACUUACCGUAAAAUA
Long non-coding RNA from Dunckerocampus dactyliophorus (ringed pipefish), 400 nucleotides. RefSeq lists it as uncharacterized. NCBI's taxonomy places the organism in Eukaryota, Metazoa, Chordata, Actinopteri, Syngnathiformes, Syngnathidae. The record is from RefSeq and is a predicted model, not a curated record. The transcript is spliced from 5 exons.